RNAcentral lists this ribosomal RNA (16 nucleotides) under Telanthophora cobanensis. RNAcentral's name for it is "partial 26S ribosomal RNA". The record is from RNAcentral. Lineage: Eukaryota; Viridiplantae; Streptophyta; Magnoliopsida; Asterales; Asteraceae.
CCCGCUGAGUUUAAGC